GACGAACACUGGCGGCGUGCUUAACACAUGCAAGUCGAACGGAAAGGCCCUGCUUUUGUGGGGUGCUCGAGUGGCGAACGGGUGAGUAACACGUGAGUAACCUGCCCUUGACUUUGGGAUAACUUCAGGAAACUGGGGCUAAUACCGGAUAGGAGCUCCUGCUGCAUGGUGGGGGUUGGAAAGUUUCGGCGGUUGGGGAUGGACUCGCGGCUUAUCAGCUUGUUGGUGGGGUAGUGGCUUACCAAGGCUUUGACGGGUAGCCGGCCUGAGAGGGUGACCGGCCACAUUGGGACUGAGAUACGGCCCAGACUCCUACGGGAGGCGGCAGUGGGGAAUAUUGCACAAUGGGCGGAAGCCUGAUGCAGCAACGCCGCGUGCGGGAUGACGGCCUUCGGGUUGUAAACCGCUUUCGCCUGUGACGAAGCGUGAGUGACGGUAAUGGGUAAAGAAGCACCGGCUAACUACGUG
Molecule: ribosomal RNA, 468 nt
Filed under: uncultured bacterium
Lineage: Bacteria
Description: partial 16S ribosomal RNA
Rfam family: Bacterial small subunit ribosomal RNA
Source: RNAcentral